Molecule: transfer RNA, 72 nt
Filed under: Acanthodactylus erythrurus lineomaculatus
Lineage: Eukaryota; Metazoa; Chordata; Lepidosauria; Squamata; Lacertidae
Description: tRNA-Phe
Rfam family: tRNA
About the family: Transfer RNA (tRNA) molecules are approximately 80 nucleotides in length. Their secondary structure includes four short double-helical elements and three loops (D, anti-codon, and T loops).
Source: RNAcentral
GUUUCUGUAGCUUAUUUUUUAAAGCACAGCACUGAAGCUGCUGAGAUGGGAGAUUGAAACUCCCCAACAACA